CUACAAAGGAAUUGACGGGGGCCCGCACAAGCGGUGGAGCAUGUGGUUUAAUUCGAUGAUACGCGAGGAACCUUACCUGGGCUCAAAUGUAUGUUGACGUAUUCUGAAAGGGAUACUUCUUCGGACAAUAUACAAGGUGCUGCAUGGUUGUCGUCAGCUCGUGCCGUGAGGUGUCGGGUUAAGUCCCAUAACGAGCGCAACCCCUAUCAUUAGUUGCCAUCAGGUCAAGCUGGGGACUCUAAUGAAACUGCCUACGCAAGUAGUGAGGAAGGUGGGGAUGACGUCAAAUCAGCACGGCCCUUACGUCCAGGACUACACACGUGCUACAAUGGCCGAUACAGAGGGCAGCUACCUGGUGACAGGAUGCAAAUCUCCAAAGUCGGUCUCAGUUCGGAUCGGAGUCUGCAACCCGACUCCGUGAAGUUGGAUUCGCUAGUAAUCGCGCAUCAGCCAUGGCGCGGUGAAUACGUUCCCGGGCCUU
This 481-nucleotide ribosomal RNA is filed under the name uncultured Sphingobacteriales bacterium. RNAcentral's name for it is "bacterial SSU rRNA". It matches the Rfam family "Bacterial small subunit ribosomal RNA", at positions 903 to 1382 of the family's 1533-position model. Lineage: Bacteria; Pseudomonadati; Bacteroidota; Sphingobacteriia; Sphingobacteriales. The record is from RNAcentral.